RNAcentral lists this ribosomal RNA (497 nucleotides) under uncultured bacterium. RNAcentral describes it as "partial 16S ribosomal RNA". It matches the Rfam family "Bacterial small subunit ribosomal RNA", at positions 28 to 507 of the family's 1533-position model. The record is from RNAcentral.
GACGAACGCUGGCGGCGUGCCUAACACAUGCAAGUCGAGCGAACAGACGAGGUCCUUGCUCGUCUGACGUUAUCAGCGGAGGGGUGAUGAACACGUGGUUAGCAUACCUCCCCGACCGGGAUAAUAUCGGCAAACCGGAGCUACUACCGGAUGAUAUAUUGAAUCUGAUGGUUCAAUCGUGAGAGAAGGUUUUGCUGUCGGUUAUAGAUGGACCCGCGGCGGAUCAGCUAGUUGGUAAGGUAACGGCUUACCAAGGCGGCGACGGGUAGCCGGCCUGAGGGGGUGGUCGGCCACACGGGAAGUGAGGCGCGGCCCAGACUCCUACGGGGGGAAGCAGCAGUGAAUCUUACGCGAUGGGCGAAAGCCGGAUGGUGCAACGCCGCGGGAGGGAUGAAGGUGUUCGGAUCGUAGAGCUCUGUUAUUAGUAGAGAAGAAAUGUGUAAGUAACUAUGCACGUCUUGACGGUACCUGGACAAAAAGCCACGGCUAACUACGUG